UGAAUACGAAAUGCUACGGCAUUGAAGUGAUCUAUGCCAUGCUUCCAAGAAAAUCUCGUCAUAUCUUAAAUAAUAAAUGCCUGUACCUUAAACCGACACAGGUAGGUAGGUAGAGUAUACCAAGGGGCGCGAGAUAACUCUCUCUAAGGAACUCGGCAAAAUAACCUCGUAACUUCGGAAGAAGAGGUACCCUUGAAAAAGGGUUGCAAUAACCAGACCCUGGCGACUGUUUACCAAAAACACAGGUCUCCGCUAAUUCGUAAGAUCAAGUAUGGAGGCUGACGCCUGCCCAGUGCCGGAAGGUUAAAGAAGUUGGUCAAUCUUCGGAUGAAGCUGGCGACUGAAGCCCCGGUAACGGCGGCCGUAACUAUAACGGUCCUAAGGUAGCGAAGUUCCUUGUCGGGUAAGUUCCGACCCGCACGAAAGGCGUAACGAUCAGGGUGCUGUCUCGGAGAGAGACUCGGUGAAAUAGACAUGUCUGUGAAGAUGCGGACUACCUGCACCUGGACAGAAAGACCCUAUGAAGCUUUACUGUAUCUUGGAAUUGGGUUUGGGCCUUGUUUGCGCAGGAUAGGUGGGAGGCUGUGAAGAUAUUCUCGUGGGAAUAUUGGAGCCAACGGUGAGAUACCACUCUAGCAAGGCUAAAAUUCUAACUCUGAACCGUUAUCCGGUCAGAGAACAGUUUCAGGUGGGCAGUUUGACUGGGGCGGUCGCCUCCUAAAAGGUAACGGAGGCGCGCAAAGGUUCCCUCAGGCUGGUUGGACAUCAGUCGUAGAGUGUAAAGGCAUAAGGGAGCUUGACUGCGAGACCCACAAGUCGAGCAGAGACGAAAGUCGGCCUUAGUGAUCCGACGGUUCCACGUGGAAGGGCCGUCGCUCAACGGAUAAAAGUUACUCUAAGGAUAACAGGCUGAUCUCCCCCAAGAGUUCACAUCGACGGGGAGGUUUGGCACCUCGAUGUCGGCUCAUCGCAUCCUGGGGCGGUAGUACGUCCCAAGGGUUGGGCUGUUCGCCCAUGAAAGCGGUACGCGAGCCGGGUUCAGAACGUCGUGAGACAGUUCGGUCCAUAUCCGGUGCAGGCGUUAGAGCAUUGAAAGGAGUCCCCCUUAGUACGAGAGGACCGGGGGGAAUACACCGCUGGUGUACCAGUUAUCGUGCCAACGGUAAACGCUGGGUAGCCAUGUGUAGCGUGGAUAACUGCUGAAAGCAUCUAAGUAGGAAGCCCACCUUAAGAUGAGUGCUCUCACCGCUAUAAGCGGGUAAGGUCACGGUAAGAACAACCGUUAUAUAGGCAUUAAGUAUACAUGCAGUAAUGCAUUUAGCUGAGAUGUACUAACAGACCGAGGGCUUGAUGC
Molecule: ribosomal RNA, 1354 nt
Filed under: metagenome
Description: bacterial LSU rRNA
Rfam family: Bacterial large subunit ribosomal RNA
Source: RNAcentral